AGAUUUCAACCUCUUUUCUUGUUUAAAGAAAUCUGGAUUGGACCUUUGGAAGCUGCUGGACUUGACCUAUUUCAGCUCUUCUCAAAUACAUUAGCGGGAUUGCCUCUUGACAAUUCUUUGGUGUGAUAAUUAUCUAUACCUAUCGGAAUGUCUGGAACUUAUGGCAUCGUGCUUCUAAUUGUCUGCAAAGACAAUUAUUUGAACAA
This 206-nucleotide unclassified non-coding RNA is filed under the name uncultured Agaricomycetes. Its description in RNAcentral is "sequence contains ITS2". The record is from RNAcentral. Lineage: Eukaryota; Fungi; Basidiomycota; Agaricomycetes.